CAGCGGACAUCUGUCUUUCACGAUGGUUAGGCCAGGCUGAUCAAAUCCAGCCCAGAUCAGAUAAAUUUACAGCGCUAAGAGAAUCGCAUUAAUCCAUGAUCCCGGGGCCUCCAUUGAAUUGAACUGCGAAAUAGUUAAGCCAGCCGGCCCAUGGAGGCCAGCGAACCGGAGUACUCCUGCGGCACGAGCACAACCUCUUCCGCCACCGUUCCGGCUUCAUAUUCCGGCAGUUGAAGCCCAUGGCUAUCAGGGAGACGAAGGAAAGCUGAAUAAAUCAAUGAUUCACGGACAGUUACUUGAGGAGGCAUGUCCACAAAAUAAUUGACGUUGUCGAAUGACAUGGCAAGUGGGGUGAAUGGAAGAACCAUUCCUCUCUUGGGAGCAACACCACUUGCUGCCUCAAGACUUGUAUCUUCUUUUCUACUGCUCAAAUUUCUACUUGGUUGGGUGUGCACGGGCAGGACAGCCAUUUCUCCUGAAAGCGUUACAUAAAGGCAUCCUUUUAUACUAACCUUUAGGAAGAAUGAAACCACCCAAGAGAAAAACAAGGAGAAGAGCUAGAGUUCCUCCAGUGUUUGCAAUUAUCAUUGUUCUGCAGGCUGCUGCAAUUAGCCGAAAUAACCCAGCAGCCAUCUGCUGAGUCAGAAAUAUUAAUAGUAGCUGUUUGAAGAACCUGGAAAUGGAAGGAAGCACCAAACAGUUAAGUUUAUUGCACGUGCUUAGGAAAUCAGCAGUUCCUUUUCUCUCUGGACAUCUGAACCCGCAGCUCUCGAAGAAUUCUAGGACAUGCACUCUUGGACCCUGAUAUACAAUUUGGCCUUCUGACAAGAGAAUGAUAUCAUCAAAUAGGUCAUAAGUCUCUGGAGCAGGUUGUAGGAGGGACAUUAGAACGGUAGCCUCUGUCAAGUGGACAAUCUGUUGUAAGCACUUCACAAUUUGAAAGGUUGUGGAGCUGUCUAGACCUGUUGAUAUCUCAUCCAUAAACAGUGUCUUGGUUGGCCCGACGAUCAUCUCUCCUGUUUAAGGAAGGGAAGAACAGAGAACAGUUAAGACACUAUUUUUACAGCUGAGGGAAAUGUCAAUAACCUUCUAAUGAAGCCAGUUAUCGUAGCUGCGUUCGAAGAAUGAAAAAGGAAGAUUAACGAGGCUUUCUAGCACUGCAUCACAUCUAUUAUGGUCAAAUAGAAAUUGAUAUUACUCAUUAGUUUAACCUUGCAUUCACGAGGAACUAUUUUCCAAAAUGUCUUCAUCCUUUUUCUGCAAAAUUGGCAGGUGGCCACGCCUCUGGGGGCCUGUGAUAAUCCCCUUGGAAGUCAUGGACGCUUCCAUGCUUCCUUAUGUUCCUGAGUCCAUGCCCUUUUAAGUUUAAACCACUUGGACAAAAUUCAUAUUUUCUGCCAUUUUUAUCCAGCUCUAUGUAUUGAUUCUCGUCA
Molecule: long non-coding RNA, 1433 nt
Organism: Coffea arabica (coffee)
Lineage: Eukaryota; Viridiplantae; Streptophyta; Magnoliopsida; Gentianales; Rubiaceae
Source: RefSeq, a predicted model, not a curated record